RNAcentral lists this ribosomal RNA (3125 nucleotides) under Tepidibacillus fermentans. RNAcentral describes it as "partial 23S ribosomal RNA". It matches the Rfam family "Bacterial large subunit ribosomal RNA". Lineage: Bacteria; Bacillati; Bacillota; Bacilli; Caryophanales; Bacillaceae. The record is from RNAcentral.
UAGGUUAAGAUAGAAAGGGCGCACGGUGGAUGCCUUGGUGCUAGGAGCCGAAGAAGGACGGAACGAACACCGAUAUGCCUCGGGGAGCUGUAAGUAAGCAACGAUCCGGGGAUUUCCGAAUGGGGGAACCCACGUCUCGUAAUGGAGACGUACCCAUCCCUGAACACAUAAGGGAUGAGGAGGCAACCAGGGGAACUGAAACAUCUAAGUACCCUGAGGAAGAGAAAGCAAAGAUCUUGGGCCCCACCAAAGUAGUCGGAAUAAGCUACAAAGCUUUCCGUCACUUUGGUGGGACUCGAGUGCGAUUCCCUAAGUAGCGGCGAGCGAAAGGGGAACAGCCUAAACCGAUACCUACGGGUAUCGGGGUCGUGGGGCGUCUUAAAUGGAGUUAGAAAGAAGGAACUUAGUUGAACAGGUCUGGAAAGGCUGGCCAUAGAGCGUAAGAGCCGCGUAAACAAAAAGGACCUUCCUCCAAGACCAACCCCGAGUACGGCGGGACACGAGAAACCCCGUCGGAAUCUGGGAGGACCAUCUCCUAAGGCUAAAUACUCCCUAGCAACCGAUAGUGAAACAGUACCGUGAGGGAAAGGUGAAAAGCACCCCGGGAGGGGAGUGAAAGAGAACCUGAAACCGUGUGCUUACAAACAGUUGGAGCACAAUUCAUGUGUGACAGCGUGCCUUUUGUAGAAUGAACCGGCGAGUUACGAUUGCGUGCGAGGUUAAGGCGGGAAGCUGGAGCCGUAGCGAAAGCGAGUCUGAAUAGGGCGAAAGUACGUAGUCGUAGACCCGAAACCGUGUGAUCUACCCAUGUCCAGGGUGAAGGUGAGGUAACACUCACUGGAGGCCCGAACCCACUAGUGUUGAAAAACUAGGGGAUGAGGUGUGGGUAGGGGUGAAAUUCCAAUCGAACACGGAGAUAGCUGGUUCUCCCCGAAAUAGCUUUAGGGCUAGCCUUGGAGGAAGAAACUUGGAGGUAGAGCACUGAUUGGGCUAGGGGCCCUCAUCGGGUUACCGAACUCAGUCAAACUCCGAAUGCCAAGGAUUCAUCUCCAGGAGUCAGACGGCGAGUGCUAAGAUCCGUCGUCAAGAGGGAAACAGCCCAGACCAUCAGCUAAGGUCCCCAAGUAUACGUUAAGUGGGAAAGGAUGUGGAGUUGCAUAGACAACCAGGAUGUUGGCUUAGAAGCAGCCACCAUUUAAAGAGUGCGUAAUAGCUCACUGGUCGAGUGACUCUGCGCCGAAAAUGUACCGGGGCUAAACGUAUCACCGAAGCUAUGGAUUGUGCCUACGGCACAGUGGUAGGGGAGCGUUCCAAUUGCGUAGAAGGUAUACCGGGAGGAGUGCUGGAGCGAUUGGAAGUGAGAAUGCCGGUAUGAGUAACGAAAAGAGGGGUGAGAAUCCCCUCCGCCGAAAACCUAAGGGUUCCUGAGGAAGGUUCGUCCGCUCAGGGUAAGUCGGGACCUAAGCCGAGGCCGAAAGGCGUAGGCGAUGGACAACAGGUUGAAAUUCCUGUACUACCUACAUUCCGUUUGAGCAAUGGGGUGACGCAGAAGGGUAGGUGAAGCGUGCGAGUGGAAGAGCACGUCCAAGCAGUGAGGCUGAGUAUACAGGCAAAUCCGUAGACUCAAGGCUAGGCUGUGAUGGCGAGGGAAAUUGAAGUACCGAAGUCACUGAUCUCAUGCUGCCAAGAAAAGCCUCUAGCGAGGGAUGGGGUACCCGUACCGUAAACCGACACAGGUGGGUGAGGAGAGAAUCCUAAGGCGCUCGGGAGAACUCUCGUUAAGGAACUCGGCAAAAUGACCCCGUAACUUCGGGAGAAGGGGUGCCUCGAUAGGGUGAAAGCCCGAGGAGGCCGCAGUGAAAAGGCCCAAGCGACUGUUUAGCAAAAACACAGGUCUCUGCAAAACCGUAAGGUGACGUAUAGGGGCUGACGCCUGCCCGGUGCUGGAAGGUUAAGGGGAGAGGUAAGCGCAAGCGAAGCUUUGAACCGAAGCCCCAGUAAACGGCGGCCGUAACUAUAACGGUCCUAAGGUAGCGAAAUUCCUUGUCAGGUAAGUUCUGACCCGCACGAAUGGCGUAACGACUUGGGCACUGUCUCAACGAGAGACCCGGUGAAAUUGUAAUACCUGUGAAGAUGCAGGUUACCCGCGACAAGACGGAAAGACCCCAUGGAGCUUUACUGUAGCCUGAUAUUGAAUUUUGGUACGAUCUGUACAGGAUAGGUGGGAGCCAGAGAAGCCGGGCCGCCAGGUUCGGUGGAGGCAACGGUGGGAUACCACCCUGAUCGUAUUGAAAUUCUAACCUACAUCCCUAAUCGGGAUGAGGGACCGUGUCAGGUGGGCAGUUUGACUGGGGCGGUCGCCUCCUAAAGAGUAACGGAGGCGCCCAAAGGUUCCCUCAGAAUGGUUGGAAAUCAUUCGCAGAGUGUAAAGGCAGAAGGGAGCUUGACUGCGAGACCUACAAGUCGAGCAGGGACGAAAGUCGGGCUUAGUGAUCCGGUGGUUCCGCAUGGAAGGGCCAUCGCUCAACGGAUAAAAGCUACCCUGGGGAUAACAGGCUUAUCUCCCCCAAGAGUCCACAUCGACGGGGAGGUUUGGCACCUCGAUGUCGGCUCAUCGCAUCCUGGGGCUGAAGUAGGUCCCAAGGGUUGGGCUGUUCGCCCAUUAAAGCGGUACGCGAGCUGGGUUCAGAACGUCGUGAGACAGUUCGGUCCCUAUCUGUCGCGGGCGUAGGAAAUUUGAGAGGAGCUGUCCUUAGUACGAGAGGACCGGGAUGGACACACCGCUGGUGUACCAGUUGUGCCGCCAGGCGCAUGGCUGGAUAGCCAAGUGUGGACGGGAUAAGCGCUGAAAGCAUCUAAGCGUGAAGCCCCCCUCAAGAUGAGAUUUCCCAUUUCCAGAGGUCAGGUUUCAGAAGCCAGAAGUCUGAGUGAAAGCUUUGACUUUGAGGAGAAGAGAAUUGUAUGUCAAAUUACUUCUUUGAUAUACAUGCAUCUGAUAUCCGGUUUCCGACAUCUGAUCUCUGGAAAGUAAGAUCCCUUAAAGAUGAUGAGGUUGAUAGGUCCGGUGUGGAAGUACCGUAAGGUAUGGAGCUAACGGAUACUAAUGGAUCGAGGGCUUAACCUAA